RNAcentral lists this ribosomal RNA (2938 nucleotides) under Klebsiella pneumoniae. RNAcentral's name for it is "bacterial LSU rRNA". It matches the Rfam family "Bacterial large subunit ribosomal RNA". The record is from RNAcentral. Lineage: Bacteria; Pseudomonadati; Pseudomonadota; Gammaproteobacteria; Enterobacterales; Enterobacteriaceae.
UUAAGCGACUAAGCGUACACGGUGGAUGCCCUGGCAGUCAGAGGCGAUGAAGGACGUGCUAAUCUGCGAAAAGCGUCGGUAAGGUGAUAUGAACCGUUAUAACCGGCGAUGUCCGAAUGGGGAAACCCAGUGUGAUUCGUCACACUAUCGUUAACUGAAUACAUAGGUUAACGAGGCGAACCGGGGGAACUGAAACAUCUAAGUACCCCGAGGAAAAGAAAUCAACCGAGAUUCCCCCAGUAGCGGCGAGCGAACGGGGAGCAGCCCAGAGUCUGAAUCAGCUUGUGUGUUAGUGGAACGGUCUGGAAAGUCCGACGGUACAGGGUGAUAGUCCCGUACACCAAAAUGCACAGGCUGUGAACUCGAAGAGUAGGGCGGGACACGUGGUAUCCUGUCUGAAUAUGGGGGGACCAUCCUCCAAGGCUAAAUACUCCUGACUGACCGAUAGUGAACCAGUACCGUGAGGGAAAGGCGAAAAGAACCCCGGCGAGGGGAGUGAAAAAGAACCUGAAACCGUGUACGUACAAGCAGUGGGAGCACCUUCGGGUGUGACUGCGUACCUUUUGUAUAAUGGGUCAGCGACUUAUAUUCUGUAGCAAGGUUAACCGUAUAGGGGAGCCGCAGGGAAACCGAGUCUUAACUGGGCGUUAAGUUGCAGGGUAUAGACCCGAAACCCGGUGAUCUAGCCAUGGGCAGGUUGAAGGUUGGGUAACACUAACUGGAGGACCGAACCGACUAAUGUUGAAAAAUUAGCGGAUGACUUGUGGCUGGGGGUGAAAGGCCAAUCAAACCGGGAGAUAGCUGGUUCUCCCCGAAAGCUAUUUAGGUAGCGCCUCGUGAACUCAUCUUCGGGGGUAGAGCACUGUUUCGGCUAGGGGGUCAUCCCGACUUACCAACCCGAUGCAAACUACGAAUACCGAAGAAUGUUAUCACGGGAGACACACGGCGGGUGCUAACGUCCGUCGUGAAGAGGGAAACAACCCAGACCGCCAGCUAAGGUCCCAAAGUCAUGGUUAAGUGGGAAACGAUGUGGGAAGGCACAGACAGCCAGGAUGUUGGCUUAGAAGCAGCCAUCAUUUAAAGAAAGCGUAAUAGCUCACUGGUCGAGUCGGCCUGCGCGGAAGAUGUAACGGGGCUAAACCAUGCACCGAAGCUGCGGCAGCGACACUAUGUGUUGUUGGGUAGGGGAGCGUUCUGUAAGCCUGCGAAGGUGNNNNNNNNNNNNNNNNNNNNNNNNNNNNNNNNNNNNNNNNNNNNNNNNNNUGCUGGAGGUAUCAGAAGUGCGAAUGCUGACAUAAGUAACGAUAAAGCGGGUGAAAAGCCCGCUCGCCGGAAGACCAAGGGUUCCUGUCCAACGUUAAUCGGGGCAGGGUGAGUCGACCCCUAAGGCGAGGCCGAAAGGCGUAGUCGAUGGGAAACAGGUUAAUAUUCCUGUACUUGGUGUUACUGCGAAGGGGGGACGGAGAAGGCUAUGUUAGCCGGGCGACGGUUGUCCCGGUUUAAGCAUGUAGGCUGAUUGUCCAGGCAAAUCCGGAUAAUCAAGGCUGAGGUGUGAUGACGAGGCACUACGGUGCUGAAGUAACAAAUGCCCUGCUUCCAGGAAAAGCCUCUAAGCAUCAGGUAACAUCAAAUCGUACCCCAAACCGACACAGGUGGUCAGGUAGAGAAUACCAAGGCGCUUGAGAGAACUCGGGUGAAGGAACUAGGCAAAAUGGUGCCGUAACUUCGGGAGAAGGCACGCUGGUGUGUAGGUGAAGUCCCUGCGGAUGGAGCUGAGACCAGUCGAAGAUACCAGCUGGCUGCAACUGUUUAUUAAAAACACAGCACUGUGCAAACACGAAAGUGGACGUAUACGGUGUGACGCCUGCCCGGUGCCGGAAGGUUAAUUGAUGGGGUUAUCCGUAAGGAGAAGCUCUUGAUCGAAGCCCCGGUAAACGGCGGCCGUAACUAUAACGGUCCUAAGGUAGCGAAAUUCCUUGUCGGGUAAGUUCCGACCUGCACGAAUGGCGUAAUGAUGGCCAGGCUGUCUCCACCCGAGACUCAGUGAAAUUGAACUCGCUGUGAAGAUGCAGUGUACCCGCGGCAAGACGGAAAGACCCCGUGAACCUUUACUAUAGCUUGACACUGAACAUUGAGCCUUGAUGUGUAGGAUAGGUGGGAGGCUUUGAAGCGUGGACGCCAGUCUGCGUGGAGCCAACCUUGAAAUACCACCCUUUAAUGUUUGAUGUUCUAACGUUGGCCCCUUACCGGGGUUGCGGACAGUGUCUGGUGGGUAGUUUGACUGGGGCGGUCUCCUCCCAAAGCGUAACGGAGGAGCACGAAGGUUAGCUAAUCCUGGUCGGACAUCAGGAGGUUAGUGCAAUGGCAUAAGCUAGCUUGACUGCGAGCGUGACGGCGCGAGCAGGUGCGAAAGCAGGUCAUAGUGAUCCGGUGGUUCUGAAUGGAAGGGCCAUCGCUCAACGGAUAAAAGGUACUCCGGGGAUAACAGGCUGAUACCGCCCAAGAGUUCAUAUCGACGGCGGUGUUUGGCACCUCGAUGUCGGCUCAUCACAUCCUGGGGCUGAAGUAGGUCCCAAGGGUAUGGCUGUUCGCCAUUUAAAGUGGUACGCGAGCUGGGUUUAGAACGUCGUGAGACAGUUCGGUCCCUAUCUGCCGUGGGCGCUGGAGAAUUGAGGGGGGCUGCUCCUAGUACGAGAGGACCGGAGUGGACGCAUCACUGGUGUUCGGGUUGUCAUGCCAAUGGCACUGCCCGGUAGCUAAAUGCGGAAGAGAUAAGUGCUGAAAGCAUCUAAGCACGAAACUUGCCCCGAGAUGAGUUCUCCCUGAGACUUUAAGUCUCCUGAAGGAACGUUGAAGACGACGACGUUGAUAGGCCGGGUGUGUAAGCGCAGCGAUGCGUUGAGCUAACCGGUACUAAUGAACCGUGAGGCUUAACCUU